This 587-nucleotide ribosomal RNA is filed under the name uncultured bacterium. RNAcentral describes it as "bacterial SSU rRNA". It matches the Rfam family "Bacterial small subunit ribosomal RNA", at positions 338 to 916 of the family's 1533-position model. The record is from RNAcentral.
CCUACGGGAGGCAGCAGUGGGGAAUUUUGGACAAUGGGGGCAACCCUGAUCCAGCCAUUCCGCGUGAGUGAAGAAGGCCUUCGGGUUGUAAAGCUCUUUCGGCAGGAACGAAACGGUUACGGCCAAUACCCGUGACUACUGACGGUACCUGAAGAAGAAGCACCGGCUAACUACGUGCCAGCAGCCGCGGUAAUACGUAGGGUGCGAGCGUUAAUCGGAAUUACUGGGCGUAAAGCGUGCGCAGGCGGCUUUUUAAGCCAGAUGUGAAAUCCCCGGGCUUAACCUGGGAACUGCAUUUGAAACUGCUCGGCUGGAGUACGGGAGAGGAGAGUGGAAUUCCCGGUGUAGAGGUGAAAUUCGUAGAUAUCGGGAGGAACACCAGUGGCGAAGGCGGCUCUCUGGUCCGAUACUGACGCUGAGACGCGAAAGCGUGGGGAGCAAACAGGAUUAGAUACCCUGGUAGUCCACGCCGUAAACGAUGGGCACUAGGUGUAGGAGGUAUUGACCCCUCCUGUGCCGAAGUUAACGCAUUAAGUGCCCCGCCUGGGGAGUACGGUCGCAAGGCUAAAACUCAAAGGAAUUGACGG